CGCCUCUUGCUAACAAAGGAAGUACUAGAGGUCCCGCCUGCCCUGUGACCACAAAGUUUAACGGCCGCGGUAUCCUGACCGUGCGAAGGUAGCGUAAUCAUUUGUCUUUUAAAUAGAGACCUGUAUGAAUGGCAUAACGAGGGUUUAACUGUCUCCUUCCCCUAGUCAAUGAAAUUGAUCUGCCCGUGCAGAAGCGGACAUAAACACAUAAGACGAGAAGACCCUAUGGAGCUUUAGACAAAAGAUCAAACAUGUAAAGAAACCAAACCAACCAAAAGGAACACGAAGGCCACAAAACCCAACGUAAACUGAUCUAAAUGUCUUCGGUUGGGGCGACCAUGGGGGAAAGAAAAGCCCCCACGAGGAACAGGGACAACCCCUAAACUAAGAGAGACACCUCUAAGCAACAGAAAAUCUGACCAAAAUGACC
This 430-nucleotide ribosomal RNA is filed under the name Anguilla anguilla (European eel). RNAcentral describes it as "partial large subunit ribosomal RNA". It matches the Rfam family "Bacterial large subunit ribosomal RNA", at positions 1816 to 2420 of the family's 2925-position model. The record is from RNAcentral. Lineage: Eukaryota; Metazoa; Chordata; Actinopteri; Anguilliformes; Anguillidae.